RNAcentral lists this ribosomal RNA (119 nucleotides) under Arabis alpina (gray rockcress). RNAcentral's name for it is "rRNA ENSRNAG00050207753". The record is from RNAcentral. Lineage: Eukaryota; Viridiplantae; Streptophyta; Magnoliopsida; Brassicales; Brassicaceae.
GGGGUGCAACACGAGGACUUCCCAGGAGGUCACCCAUCCUAGUACUACUCUCGCCCAAGCACGCUUGACUGCGGAGUUCUGAUGGGAUCCGGUGCAUUAGUACUGGUAUGAUCGCACCC